This is a non-coding RNA of Salmo salar (Atlantic salmon), 54 nucleotides long. NCBI's taxonomy places the organism in Eukaryota, Metazoa, Chordata, Actinopteri, Salmoniformes, Salmonidae. The record is from Rfam.
CACUCACUGUAGUGCAAGUUGCUUUAGAUAAAAGCAUCUGCUAAAUGGCAUCCA